Epinephelus lanceolatus (giant grouper) is the source of this 182-nucleotide small nuclear RNA. RefSeq annotates it as U2 spliceosomal RNA. The record is from RefSeq and is a predicted model, not a curated record. Lineage: Eukaryota; Metazoa; Chordata; Actinopteri; Perciformes; Serranidae.
AUCGCUUCUCGGCCUUUUGGCUAAGAUCAAGUGUAGUAUCUGUUCUUAUCAGUUUAAUAUCUGAUACGUCCCCUACCCGGGGACCAUAUAUUAAAUUGCUUUUUGGAACAGGGAGAUGGAAAAGGGGCUUGGGUUGGGAACCGGAGGGUCGCCUGUUCAAGUCCCCGUCCGGACCAAAAUAU